UUUACGAGAAAGUUUAUCAUCGUUAUCAAAUACUCUAAAUAACAAUAUUUCAUUGUCAUUUCCUUAUUAUUCGACACAACGAUAUAUAGAACGAUGUAUGUGUACGAUAGCAAGAGAAAAUUGAUUUUUAAAAGCUGUGCUACACGUGCUAACGAAAUUAAUGAGAAAUAUAGUAUAGAAUUGUACCAGAAGUGUUACUCCUAUUCGAAUUGUUUCGUUCUUGAAACGUAUCGUAAAACUUGUAUACGUAAUAUAAUUUGAAGAAACCAACCGAUCCUUCCGUGAGACAGUCUCGGACAAUGGAAAAUGUGAAAUUCCUUGAGAGUGAAUCAACUUUGAAGCGACUAAAACUAAAGAGAAUCUUCUACUUGUUUCAUGGAUGGACCAGUUGGCAUGUAUUUAGCUUAAUAAAUUCAACAACGUACCUACCUUCUUUUUCUUUUUUUUUUUUUUUUUUUUUAAUUGAAUAAAACAAACAUCUUCUCUUUGGUUACACGCACAUUACGUACAAAGAAGAGAAAGAGCUUCUACGUAAUGAUUUACGAAAGAAUAAUACCUAAUGACAAUACUAGCAUCAACGUAAAAAAUAGAAAAAUUAGAAUAUCUUACCAAAUCCUUCGGAUCCUUGCGUACGUGAUUUUAGCGAUAAAUAUAC
This 655-nucleotide unclassified non-coding RNA is filed under the name Bombus terrestris (buff-tailed bumblebee). RNAcentral describes it as "misc RNA ENSBTSG00005038188.1". Lineage: Eukaryota; Metazoa; Arthropoda; Insecta; Hymenoptera; Apidae. The record is from RNAcentral.